RNAcentral lists this non-coding RNA (50 nucleotides) under Rhodobacteraceae bacterium EhC02. RNAcentral describes it as "Guanidine-II riboswitch aptamer (mini-ykkC)". It matches the Rfam family "Guanidine-II riboswitch aptamer (mini-ykkC)". From Rfam's summary of the family: Simpler in structure and has fewer highly conserved nucleotide positions than the ykkC-yxkD leader. RNAcentral also lists the same sequence under 1 other name. Lineage: Bacteria; Pseudomonadati; Pseudomonadota; Alphaproteobacteria; Rhodobacterales; Paracoccaceae. The record is from Rfam by way of RNAcentral.
AAGCGAGGACGACCUCCCCCGUAACGGGCGAUUUUUCCGGGACGACCCGG